AGCAGCCGCGGUAAUUCCAGCUCCAAUAGCGUAUAUUAAAGUUGUUGCAGUUAAAAAGCUCGUAGUUGAAUUUCGGGAUUGGCGCACCGGUCGUGCCUCACGGGGUAUGAACUGGUGCAGUCAAUUUCUCACCUUCUGGAGAACCGUGAUGUCCUUAAUUGGGUGCCGCGGGGAACCAGGACCUUUACUUUGAAAAAAUUAGAGUGUUUAAAGCAGGCAUUUUUGCUUGAAUACAUUAGCAUGGAAUAAUAAAAUAGGACGGCAUGGUUCUAUUUUGUUGGUUUCUAGGACCACCGUAAUGAUUAAUAGGGAUAGUUGGGGGCAUUAGUAUUCAAUUGUCAGAGGUGAAAUUCUUGGAUUUAUUGAAGACUAACUACUGCGAAAGCAUUUGCCAAGGAUGUUUUCAUUAAUCAAGAACGAAAGUUAGGGGAUCGAAGACGAUCAGAUACCGUCGUAGUCUUAACCAUAAACUAUGCCGACUAGGAAUCAGACGAUGUUAAUUUUUAAUGUACUCGUUGGC
Molecule: ribosomal RNA, 520 nt
Filed under: uncultured Glomeromycotina
Lineage: Eukaryota; Fungi; Glomeromycota
Description: SSU rRNA
Rfam family: Eukaryotic small subunit ribosomal RNA
Source: RNAcentral